Molecule: RNA transcript, 8795 nt
Organism: Homo sapiens (human)
Lineage: Eukaryota; Metazoa; Chordata; Mammalia; Primates; Hominidae
Gene: IYD
Gene name: iodotyrosine deiodinase
Exons: 6
Source: RefSeq, marked reviewed
GUGACGUCAGACUCCAGACCAUGUAUUUCCUGACUCCCAUCUUGGUAGCCAUUCUCUGCAUUUUGGUUGUGUGGAUCUUUAAAAAUGCCGACAGAAGCAUGGAGAAAAAGAAGGGGGAGCCUAGAACCAGGGCCGAAGCUCGCCCCUGGGUGGAUGAAGACUUAAAAGACAGCAGUGACCUGCACCAAGCAGAAGAAGAUGCUGAUGAAUGGCAAGAAUCAGAAGAAAAUGUUGAACACAUCCCCUUCUCUCAUAACCACUAUCCUGAGAAGGAAAUGGUUAAGAGGUCUCAGGAAUUUUAUGAACUUCUCAAUAAGAGACGGUCAGUCAGGUUCAUAAGUAAUGAGCAAGUCCCAAUGGAAGUCAUUGAUAAUGUCAUCAGAACGGCAGGAACAGCCCCGAGUGGGGCUCACACAGAGCCCUGGACCUUCGUGGUUGUGAAGGACCCAGACGUGAAGCACAAGAUUCGAAAGAUCAUUGAGGAGGAAGAGGAGAUCAACUACAUGAAAAGGAUGGGACAUCGCUGGGUCACAGACCUCAAGAAACUGAGAACCAACUGGAUUAAAGAGUACUUGGAUACUGCCCCUAUUUUGAUUCUCAUUUUCAAACAAGUACAUGGUUUCGCCGCAAAUGGCAAGAAAAAAGUCCACUACUACAAUGAGAUCAGUGUUUCCAUCGCUUGUGGCAUCCUGCUAGCUGCCCUGCAGGUUUUUGGAAAAAUUAUCCUGAAGGAGCUGGCAUUGAUUUCCUUCCUGAAUCUGUAAGCAGGUAAAUAAUGGAAUCACCAUGCGGCAUCAGACUGCGAGGCACCGCCACCUGAUUGAGGGUCCUGGAAGAAGCAGCGAAGCCUGCAGCAAGCUCAGCUCACAAGGCUGCCCAGAAUGCAGGUCUGGUGACUGUCACUACCACUCCUCUCAACUGUGGCCCUCGACUGAGGGUGCUCCUGGGCCGCCCCGCACAUGAAAAGCUGCUGAUGCUGCUCCCCGUGGGGUACCCCAGCAAGGAGGCCACGGUGCCUGACCUCAAGCGCAAACCUCUGGACCAGAUCAUGGUGACAGUGUAGGCAGGGCCCCCCAAGGGAGUGGCAGGGAGAUGGCGCCCCUGCUUUUCCCUGAGCCUCUCGCCUGCUCCUCUUGGGUCUCUUGGCUGCUCUUUCUCCAGGUGUCAGGUCCCCUCAUUGCUCUUCUCAGGUGGCCACACUAUGUCAAGAAGCCUCUCCACACUCUGUGGCACUUCCAGUCCCAUAAAUCCUGUUUCUUAUCCACUUUGGAAAUGCAUGAACACUUUACAAAGAACAUGCCCGGGUUUUUACAUUUUAAAAGUUAUUCUAGACAAUCACUAUUGGCUUUUUUCUUUUAUUUUUAAAAAACUCACAUAGAGGAGACAAUCAGAAAUUUACCAUAGUCCCAAGAAUUCAGCUACAUGAUGACUCGAAUUUAAAUUUAGAUUAAUCAAAUGGUCUCCUGUUCUCUGAUUUCUGGUGGCUUUUAGACACUAAUUUUUGAGAACUACUUUUUUUUUUUUACCAAACUUCAGGGACACUCUGCUAGUUUUGAAUAAGUAACCAUCAAAGUUACUAAAACAUGGCCAGGCGCAGUGGCUCAUGCCUGUAAUCCCAGCACUUUGGGAGGCCGAGGUGGGCAGAUUGCCUGAGCUCAAGAGUUCGAGACCAGCCUGGCCAACAUGGUGAAACCCCAUCUCUACUAAAAAUACAAAAAAUUAGCUGGGCAUGCACUUGUAAUUCCAGCUACUCAGGAGGCUGAGGCAAGAGAACUGCUUGAAUCCGGGAGGUAGAGAUUGCAGUGAGUCAAGAUGCUGAGAUGCCACCACUGCACUCCAGCCUGGGCAACAGAGCGAGAACCUGUCUCAAAAAAAACAAAAACAAAGUUACUAAAAUGUCACCUUCACAGAACAGGACAGGGUACCCUUGGGUCGCACGGGCCUGGCUGGCAUGUAAACGGUCAGUUGCACUGCCUAGUGGUUUGGUAGAUCUGACUUGUAAGCAGUUCAUAGAAGCUGCUCAAUACUCAAGAAUCUUGCAAGACAGUUAUUAAACAUUCAUAGCUUGAAAUUGCCCAUGGUGGGAGAGUUUACAUCACAACCACUACAAAUCAGCACUUGCUUUCUUCUUCUUAAAGAGAGCUGCUUACCAUACAUAGCACCCACAGUGUCUCCCUUCUCUUCUACCCCAACCCCUGAAACACACUGACCCCUAUUCUCCAGAUGACAGCACAGCUGUUUGGGACUGAUAGGGUCACAGUUGCCAGGUUGGGAAUGCUAGAUGUAGUCUUCACCCAUCACCUUCUGUCGUCCUCCCAGGGGUGUCAUAUUUACAGAGGCAAACUCUUACAGCUUGGAUGAUUUCUCAUCAAGCAACUCUACUCACCUCUUUUUCCCCUUUCCCUGUGCGUUUCUUCUUCUUGUCCUCAUUUUCCUUGAGAAAACUCUCUCUAUAAAAAAUUUCCAUAGAGUAUGUGGCUGAUAAACAACAGAAAUUUGUUUCUCACAGUUCUGGAGGCUGGAAGUCCAAGGUCGGGGUGCCCUCAUGGUCAGGUGCUGGUGAGGACCCUGAUCUGGGUUGCAGACUGCUGACUUCUUAUUGUGUCCUCGUGGUAGAAAGAGGGUUAGAGCCUCUGGCAUGCCUUUUAUAAGGGUACUAAUCCCAUCAUGAGGCCCCGUCCUUAUGACCUCAUCACCUCCCAAAGGACCCCCUCCUAAUACCAUCACAUUGGGGGUUAGGGUUUCAACAUAUGAAUUGCGGGGGACACAAACAUUCCGUCCAUGGCACCUACUUCAUAGGGUUUGGCAUGCUGCUCGGUACAUGGUUAACAUUCAUAAAUGGUGGGGGCCCUUACUGUGGUAGAAACCAUUGUCACUGCAAGGCAGCCCUGCUUGGGAUUCAGGUGAACAAAUGUAACGUGGGUGGGUGAGGGACUCCCUCCUCUUCAGAGAAGCCCUCCUGUGGCUCAGGGGCAGCUGCAGGGCCAGAUGGAGUUGGCCUGCAGGGAGUCAGCCUUACCCCAUCAGAGACCAACUUGAAAGAUUUUUUUCUCUGUGUAGUUCGUGUUAUCAAUCUGAUCUGCAGCCAGGUUAUUUACUUCUGAAGCAUUGGAGUUAUCGAUUGCCAUUGCCCCAUGGUUCUCACUCUUUGCAGGCACUCUUCAAAUUUUUAUUUUAAAAAUUAUAAUGCAAACAUCUGGCCAUCACCUUAACCAAGUGACAAAGUCCUAGCACACCAUUAAUGGUAGGAUAACUGACAUUAAGUGUUCCUGCUGGGAUGAAUUAUGAAGUAUUCCUUCCAAAGAUGUCAAUGGAAACUAAUCGAGUCUUACACCUAAUUUUCAGUUUACAGUAAAUACAGAGGAUAAAGAAGUUAAUGGCAUGGUGGAAUAACCAAAAUGUGUAUCAUUCUACAAAAAAAUAGGCCUGGACUAUUUAAGGAGUGAGUGUCACUGUGGGAAGAAUAAGAGGGGGACUGUCUUGUCCUUGCUACUCAAAGAGUGGUCCUGGGCCUGUAUCAUCAUUGGGACCACCUGGGCGCUUGUUAGAAUCAAAGACUCUCAGGCCUCACCUAGACAUCCAGAAUCAAAAUCUGCAUUUUAACAAGAUGCCCAGGUGAUCUGCAUGCCUGUUAAAGUCUGAGCUCUGUUGCAGAUAACCAGAGACCCAACAACCAAAGGCAAAGCGUAAGCCUUGAUUGGAUUUUGGUUUAGGAAAAAUCUCAUAGGUAUAAAAGACAACUGGGAAUGUUGAAUGUGGAUCUGGUGGUAGGUGAUAUUGUUAGUGAUGUGAGUGAUGCCUGCUGAAGUACUGAGAGAUGAAGCAUCAUAUUGACAACUUACUCCAGGAAAAAAGGUGUGUGUAUAGGUGUGUGUUUGGAGAGUGUGAGCGAGAACUAACAUGGUAAAAUGUUAGGUGGAGCAUAUACAGUUCUCAUUAUACUCUUAUUUUAAAUUUAUAUUUGAACACAGUCAAAUCUGAAUGGAAAUACAUUUAAAUAAGCAUUUCUUUCAGUCAUAUAAGUAAUUUGCCUAAAAAUGCCCUCUAAGUCCAUCAUUAGGUUAAGCGAUUUACUGAAGGUGCAGAUAUCAUGCUUAUUUCAUUGGGUUGUUUUGGAAUGUCCCCCACUUGGAGAGUUUGAGGAAUGGAAAUGAGAAUCGGAGGAGAAAUAAGGCCAGAGGCUCACAUUGCUUGCAGGGAACCGACUGAGUAAUGAAGAAGAGGAAGGAAGCCCUUGGAAGGAACGUAAAAUCCAUUUCAGCCUGCCGCCCCUUGGAAUGGAGGGUCUUCUAGGGACCAGAAACACCAGACACUUCUUCUGCCCCAAGCACACCCCACACUAAUUUCUGCUGCAGCAUCACGAUCAGGGCAAAUCAGCACAGCCCCCCAGCCAUCAGUGGUGUCUAGAAAAGUAAGGAUAAUUUUCUUCCUUCUCACUGCAGCCCCAAGCUCUUAUUAACCUUCUUUUAUGUGUUCAUUAAAUGCAGUCAUGUGACAACUGUGUUCAAAGUUAGAAAUAGUGGUCGGGGAGGCUUAUAGAUCCUCUUGCUGUUCUGAGGCCUUAAAACCAAAAAAAUAAUGGAAUGAUUGCAUCACUGCGAGGAAGUAUACUUAAUUAAGAAAGUUGAAAAUGGUUUGUGUCUUACUAAUAGGACUCACCUGAAGACUCUACUUUGCCAAGAGGGAAUUUUUAACUCAAAGUUGUGUCAGCCAGCACGGGGUAGAGCCAUGGUCCUCAUACUUGCUGGCAUCCCUCAUCUGGUGGUCUGUUAAAGCACAGAUUGCUGGGCCGCACCCUCAGGGUGUGUGAUUGUGUGAUUCAGUAUUGCUGGGUGGUGCCCAAAUGCUCCAGUUCUAAUGUAUUCCCAGGUGUUGCUGAUGCUGGUGAUUGGGUACCACAUUUUGAGAACCAUGGGGCAUUGGCAAUCAACAAAUGCAAUGCUUGUGACUUGACGUGAUAAAAGUUCAUUUAUUGGGCAGGCAAAGUCCUCUGCAGGCCUGGAAACCCUCCGAGACAAUUACUUGCAUGGGGUAACCCAGUAAUACUGUGGGAUGCAACUUCUAGGGCAUGGCUGCCUCCUUCCUAGAGGCAGCAGGGGGAGAAAACACUGGAAGAGGUCACCCCAACAAUUCCAUCGUACCUUGGCCUAGGAGUGACCUCCUCAGUCUCACAACCCUUUGGCUAGAACUAGUCAUGUGACCUCACAGGAGGUGGAGCAGUGUCGUCAAUGUUAUCAUCCCCCUGCACCUGCAAGGAAGGAGGCCCAGAUGUGUGUAGGUGCUGGAUGUCUCUUCCCCAAAACAUAUAACUCUGGAUUUGGAAAACAAAACUGGAUAUAACAGAAAAGAAAAGGAGGGGAGAAGGAAAGUUGAAGAAAUUGGUGAAAUCAGAAUAGGACAGUGAAAGGCAUAAAGAUUUUCUUCUGAAACGCUAAGAUCGGUUGAUAUUUGUCUAAUACAGCUUUAAAUAGAGUAUCACUUUGGGCCAAAGAAAAUUGAUAUAAACAUACAUAAAGUGGAACUAAGAUUGACUUCUUCCUAGACAUCUCUGCCUCUGUCCACAAAAUGGAAACUUCCAUCAAGGAGUACUGGAGGACAGUUCAGUAUUUCUUCUUAUUUGCUCCUCCCUAUGAAAGGAAGAGUGACUUCUCUGCUGCAUGAUAUUGGGGGUAAAUAGUUAUUGCACAUUUGCUCAAACCCCAGCAAAGUGCACCCCAUUUUAAGCCAAAUUUACAAACUUACAAAGAUGAUCCACCAAUAGUUUUCUCUAUUUACUUUAUUCUUGCUCUGUCACCCAGGCUAGAAUGCAGUGGUGUGAUUAUAGCUCACUGCAGCCUCCAACUUCUGGACUCAAGUGAUCCUCCCACCUUAGCUUCCCAGGUAGCUGGGAUACAGGUGCACGCCACCACACCCAGGCUAGUUUUUCUAAAUAUUGGAGUUCCCAAAGAGUAUUCAAACUGAUGUGAUAUUUUAAAAGACAUUUUGUAAGCAUCUUUUAGGAAUAUCAGUAAGUGGAAGAAAAACACAUAGUUAUCAGUGGAUAUUAUGCCAGAGAGGCAUGAGAAAUAUAAUUUUAUUUUGCUAGGUAUCAGCAGAGUGCCCUCUUAUAAUUUGUGUGAAAUGGAAACAAAGGUAACAUCGUGUUUUCAAUUCACACAUAUAUACAAGUAAUGAGAGGUCCAGAAGAAAUGUGGCUUCAGCUCUGCUGCUACUGUGCCUCCCUUCUCCUGCCCCACUCAGCCCACAAAAUAGGCUGGACACUCAAAAAACGUUGCGUUUAUCUACCUUUUAGAGAGGGUGAAUAGCAGAGAACUGGAGGUGGGAAUGGUAAGGAACUCCCAGCAGGGUAGUGGAGGGAAUGGGCUGACGCAUCUAAGGCUGAUGCCAGGUCUGCUCCCUAUCUGGGUGGCCUCAGCAAAUGACGUCCAGCACAUCCAGGGGCAGGCUCAAGGGAGAACAGCCCCCAAAGCUAAGAUCCUGCCAAGCUAAAUACAGUAGUUCUAAUGAAAUGUGAGAGGCUAUAAUCCCAUUUGGGAAAUUCCUAAAAAGUCAUGAGGCAGGGGAUUGGUUUAUGUUAUUAUCAUGACCUGAGAGUCAUGGCUCAGAGCCAAAUGUUCAGGAUUGAAUUCAACAGCAUUUAAAUGUCUUUAGAGCAGGAUGGAAAUAUGUUAGCAAUGCCUGCAGAGUGCCAAGUAAACGCAAAAGCCAAUGAGAUCAUAAAGGAAGUUGUUAGCUAACCUAGGUGGAGUCGCCAACUUCCUUCUACUCUAAUAAUUAAAAAUAAAAAUAAUACUUGGGAGGUAACUGGAAUAAAGGUUCUAAAAUCAAAACCCUCUGAAGGGUGAAAACUGGGAGCCUCCUGUUCCCAUAGUAACCACAGCACUCAGGGCACUGUCUCCCAGCGCUGGAGUACUGUCUUAUGACCAGAGAUCCUAAGCAACCUCUGCUCAUCUGAGUUGUCCACCAUAUUGUGGGCAUGAGUCCUUGACAAUAGUAAAUAGCACCUCUGUUCCCUUAUUGGGUAAAUGAUUUUCCAACUCUGGGAAUGUGUAGAAUUCAUUAUGGAAAUAAUGCAAUAAUUCAAAUCCAUAAUAUUGAUACUUUCAUGUUAAGUUUAGGACUAAUCUUGUGUAUGCUCCUUAAGUGAUUUGAAUCUUUAAAAAGCUUAUGAUUCCAAUUUGAAAUGUGAAAUUGAUUUUACGUUUGUGAUUUGAAGUUGAAAGGUAUAAGAAUAUUUAACUUAGCUCAUGAAAAGUAUUAGACUAGAUUUACUAUAAGUUUAAUGUAUUAGAUUUACAAGAGAUGCUUAAAUAUAUGAGAAUGUUUUGUCUUAAUUGGUUAUAAUCUUGUCAUAUCAAUGAUUUGAAGUGCUAAAAUAGAAAAUUAAAUAUGAUAAAUUACACAAGAAGUUUAGAAUGUUUAAAAGAUUUUAAUAAACAAAGCCUAUAACUAAGACUGAUGCUUUAAGGGAGUUUGGCUUAUUCAACUUGAGUUAAUCAAACAUUAAUUAAAGCCCCCCUUCCCCAAAGAGAUUUGUUUUAUUUAUUUGUUUACUAGUUUUAUAAAUAGGAUAAUAAAAUGUGUGUAUGAGGUCAGAAUGCUUUUGACAGAAGUAAUACAAACAAAAAAACCUCACUAUAACCCAAACAAAUAAGGGAUUAUUUUUCCCUCCUAGUGAGAAGUCUGGAGGUAGAUAUUAGAUGCUGGUCUAUUGCUUCAAUGAAGUUAGUGCCAAAGUCUCAGUGGUUCUCUUGGUCUUUCUUCAUAACCACCGGAUGCUGUUAUAGCUUCACCAAUCACAACAAGCACAGUGCUUGGAACAUAAUAGGUGCUCAAUAAAUAUUCAGUACAUAUUGAAUGUGUGCAGAAAUAUAUCUCAAUCUAGUCAUAAAAUUUUAGAAUGCAAGAUCUGAAAGGGACAUGGGAAUCUGUGUUUUUAACGUGUUCCAGGUGAUUCUGCUGACCAGGUGAGUAUGGUAAAUGUGGCAAGUAUUCUCAAGUGAGCUCAUCAGUCCCAGGGCUGUUAGCACCUUCCAUCUGCCAGGCCCUCCCUGGUCUAGACCUUCAGCCUUGACCUUGCCCUGAAACGCCAAACUCUUACUCCCAGCUGCUUUCUCUGUCCCUCCACUUAGAUGUUAGUAGGCACCACAACCUUUUAAUGCUCAAAAUACUACUUUUGAGUCCUUUCCACCCCUUACUUGGCCCCUCAAUUCAUACUUUUUGGGAUGGAGCCUCAAAUCCAGAAAUCUUCUGUAUUAGUCCAUUCUCACACUGCUAAUAAAGAAUACCUGAGACUGAGUAAUUUAUAAAGGAAGGAGGUUUAAUUGAUUCACAGUUCAGCAUGGCUGGGGAGGCCUCAGGAAACUUACAAUCAUGGCAGAAAGAAAAGCAAACAUGCCCUUCUUCACAUGGUGACAGGAAGCAGAAGAAUGACAACUGAGUGAAUGGGGAAACCCCUUAUAAAGCCAUCAGAUCUCAUGAGAACUCACUCAUUCUCAUGAGAAUAACAUGGGGGAAACUGCCCCCAUUAUUCAAUUAUCCCCCAUCAGUUCUCUCCCAUGACAUGUGGGGAUUAUGGGAACUACAAUGCAAGAUGAGAUUUGGGUGAAGACAUAGCCAAACCAUAUCAUCAUCUUAAAUUUCUGUGAUUCUUUUAUUCUGCACAUCCAAAUCCAUGAGCAAGUUAUACUGACUUUAUCUCUGAAUAUUGACCAUGGGAGGGGAACAAGGAGAAGCAGUGUGAACAGGAAAAGCAUGCUGCCUGCUGCUGUGAAUAAUAACAUAUCUUGCUCUGA